CCUACGGGAGGCAGCAGUGAGGAAUAUUGGUCAAUGGACGAGAGUCUGAACCAGCCAAGUAGCGUGAAGGAUGACUGCCCUAUGGGUUGUAAACUUCUUUUAUCUGGGAAUAAAACGUUCCACGUGUGGGAUUUUGUAUGUACCAUAUGAAUAAGGAUCGGCUAACUCCGUGCCAGCAGCCGCGGUAAUACGGAGGAUCCGAGCGUUAUCCGGAUUUAUUGGGGUUAAAGGGAGCGUAGGUGGAUUGUUAAGUCAGUUGUGAAAGUUUGCGGCUCAACCGUAAAAUUGCAGUUGAAACUGGCAGUCUUGAGUACAGUAGAGGUGGGUGGAAUUCGUGGUGUAGCGGUGAAAUGCUUAGAUAUCACGAAGAACUCCGAUUGCGAAGGCAGUUCACUGGACUGCAACUGACACUGAGGCGCGAAAGUGUGGGUAUCAAACAGGAUUAGAUACCCGAGUAGUC
Molecule: ribosomal RNA, 460 nt
Filed under: uncultured bacterium
Lineage: Bacteria
Description: partial 16S ribosomal RNA
Rfam family: Bacterial small subunit ribosomal RNA
Source: RNAcentral